Molecule: ribosomal RNA, 425 nt
Filed under: uncultured bacterium
Lineage: Bacteria
Description: partial 16S ribosomal RNA
Rfam family: Bacterial small subunit ribosomal RNA
Source: RNAcentral
GAAUAUUGGACAAUGGGGGGAACCCUGAUCCAGCCAUGCCGCGUGUGUGAAGAAGGCCUUUUGGUUGUAAAGCACUUUAAGCGAGGAGGAGGCUACUCUAGUUAAUACCUAGGGAUAGUGGACGUUACUCGCAGAAUAAGCACCGGCUACCUCUGUGCCAUCCGCCGCGGUAAUACCGCGGGUGCAAGCGUUAAUUGGAUUUACUGGGCGUAAAGGGGGCGUAGGUUGCCAAAUAAGUUAAAUGUGAAAUCCCCGGGCUUAACUUGGGAAUUGCAUUUGGUACUGGUUGGGUAGGGGAUGGGGGAGGAUGGGAGGAUUUCCGGGGGAGGGGGUAAAUGGGGAGAGAUCUGGAGGAAUACCGGUGGGGAAGGCAGCCAUCUGGCCUAAUACUGACACUGAGGUGCGAAAGCAUGGGGAGCAAACAG